CUCUGUAUUUGCAAAAACCACUGUCUUCAAAAAGUUCUUGCCACUAGAAGGGUCUCCAAGCAAAAGGAAGCACCAGUAUUGCACUCAGAUCCCUCACUAGGCCCAAGGUCGACCUGCCACAGCCGGGAAGGUUCAGAAUGCGGUGGCUGGCGUGGCUCAGCACUGACUGAAAACUGUGGAAGAUUGGAACCAUUCAUCAAGAAAGAAAUUGUGGCGUUUCCUGCUUGUCCUUGGCAUGGGAAUACACUUGACUGGAUGCCUGCCAGGAGGCUGGUUUGACCCGGCAAGUCCAAAGAGGGGGUCACUGGUGCCAGACCCUGGCCACAGCGAGUGAAGAUGCUGCAGAGAAAACAGUUGUGGAUUUCUGUCCAUUGUUUCAUUGUACUGGGUCUUCCAAGCCCUGUACCUCUACAGAGAACACCUGGGGCAUAGCACAGCUGCACAUAGCCAGGCUCCAGGAGGAGCAGUCUAGAGGAUGGACUCACUGGGCCUGGUUUCCAUGGACAUUGGAGGUGCUCCCCAGGUUUGCACUCUAUUCCCCCUACUUUCAUCCUUAGUAGGUCAGUAAUGCCUUUGCCUAGAGGAGACUGUGGCUUCCCAUUUUAGGAAAUGGCAGCAGUCCUUAUCACCAGAGGACAUUGAUAACUCAGAUCUCUCUGCUAUCCUUAAAAGUAGUGCAAAUAAUCUUGAAGAGCAGCAGGAAAAGUUGCUGUUAAAUGUGUACUUUCCAGCUGUGAAGUUGUGGCACCUCAUAGGGAUCACUGACCAUGGCAGCUUUGUCCUGCCUGGCAAGGUCAAACCUAUAGUCAUAGUUCUGGAAUAUGAGCGCUUGCCAUUCGAGGGUAGAGGAGCAGAGUAGCAAGGGGCAUGUAUUGAAAGGUGUUCUGGCAGAACAGAAAGAACAGAAAUAUGGAUUUUCACUAUUGCUAGACUGAUACCAGAUGAUCUCCCUGUCUCGCCUCUGUCUUGGUUUCUUUAUGUGUUGAAAUACUGUGAUUUAUUGAGCACUUAGAAGGACCCCAACUUAGUGGUAAGUAAGUGAUACAUAGCAACUCUUUAAAGUAUCUCCUUUCUCUAUGUGCAAAAACAGGCUGAAAGAAAAAAACCCAACAAACCAAAACCCAAAAACAAAAAAACUAAGGUAAGGUACCUCAGCUGGUUGGGGAUAAGACAGGAUCUAGGUGUGUGUGCUGAAAUUCUGGAUUCUCAACUACUUAGACCGUAAGUGUGCUCAGCUCCUAUGGUUUCCCAGAGUUUUGGUUUUUUUUUUUUUUUUUUUUUUUUUGGCUGAGAACUCCAGCUUGUCCUCACCUUACUUCUAUCCUUUUUCUUUCUGUGAAGGCCUUCAGCGCCUGAAACGAAGCCAGCCAUCCCUUUCCUGCAGGGAAAUGAAAAGUUCUUUGCAGCUUUGGUGGGGACCUGUACUUUGUGCUUUUCCAGUAUGUAGCGGUGCAUUACUGCAGUGUUCUGAGCUCGGAAACCUGCCAGAGUUCUCAUGGUUGGGAACUUGCCAGUGCAGUGAGUGUCCCCAGGACCUCUUAUGAAGCUGCUGCCAUUUUUGUUGUUGUUGUUGUGGGCCAUGGAGUAUGAUGAAAAAAAUGUUCUGAUUCCCCCUAAAAGGGAAGUUGGUGAAGAAUCUUUACAUAGAAUUUAAAUUCAAAAGUUGGGCCUCUUUCCAGACCCUGGCCCCAGCUGUGGUUCGUAGCUUCCCCUUCUUUUUCUUAACACAUGACCUCUCUUCUCUCCUCAACCAGCCCUACUCCAGUCUGCCUUUUUG
Long non-coding RNA from Nannospalax galili (Upper Galilee mountains blind mole rat), 1777 nucleotides. RefSeq lists it as uncharacterized. The record is from RefSeq and is a predicted model, not a curated record. NCBI's taxonomy places the organism in Eukaryota, Metazoa, Chordata, Mammalia, Rodentia, Spalacidae. The transcript is spliced from 3 exons.